GACGAACGCUGGCGGCGUGCUUAACACAUGCAAGUCGAACGGAAAGGCCCUGCUUGCAGGGUACUCGAGUGGCGAACGGGGGAGUAACACGUGGGUGAUCUGCCCUGCACUUCGGGAUAAGCCUGGGAAACUGGGUCUAAUACCGGGUAGGAGCCAUUUUGAGUGUGGGGGGUGGAAAGUUUUUUCGGUGGAGGGUGAGCUCGCGGCCUAUCAGCUUGUUGGUGGGGUGAUGGACUACCAAGGCGGCGACGGGUGGGCGGCCUGAGAGGGUGGACGGCCACAUUUGGACUGAGAUACGGCCCAGACUCCUACGGGAGGCAGCGGUGGGGAAUAUUGCACAAUGGGCGCAAGCCUGAUGCAACGACGCCGCGUGGGGGAUGACGGCCUUCGGGUUGUAAACUCCUUUCGCUAGGGACGAAGCUUUUUGUGACGGUACCUAGAUAAGAAGCACCGGCUAACUACGUG
RNAcentral lists this ribosomal RNA (465 nucleotides) under uncultured bacterium. Its description in RNAcentral is "partial 16S ribosomal RNA". It matches the Rfam family "Bacterial small subunit ribosomal RNA", at positions 28 to 507 of the family's 1533-position model. The record is from RNAcentral.